UACGGAGGGUGCGAGCGUUAAUCGGAAUUACUGGGCGUAAAGCGCGCGUAGGCGGUUUGUUAAGUCAGCUGUGAAAGCCCCGGGCUCAACCUGGGAACUGCAGUUGAUACUGUCCGACUAGAGUACGAGAGAGGGAGGUAGAAUUCCAUGUGUAGCGGUGAAAUGCGUAGAGAUCGGGUGGAACACCAGUGGCGAAGGCGGCAUCCUGGACCUGACCUAACGCUGAGGCGCGAGAGCGUGGGGAGCAAACGGG
This 253-nucleotide ribosomal RNA is filed under the name uncultured bacterium. RNAcentral's name for it is "partial 16S ribosomal RNA". It matches the Rfam family "Bacterial small subunit ribosomal RNA", at positions 524 to 776 of the family's 1533-position model. The record is from RNAcentral.